Pygocentrus nattereri (red-bellied piranha) is the source of this 389-nucleotide long non-coding RNA. RefSeq lists it as uncharacterized. NCBI's taxonomy places the organism in Eukaryota, Metazoa, Chordata, Actinopteri, Characiformes, Serrasalmidae. The transcript has 2 exons. The record is from RefSeq and is a predicted model, not a curated record.
CCUGUCCCAGAGUAUCUACAAACAUUGAGCUGAAUGCUAAGCCUGGUUUGAAGAGUUAGGCGAAGGUUUCUGGUCCAGAAUGGAUAACUGUGAUUUAGAAAAGCUUUCAGUGGAUGGUGUAAAACUCUGUCCUCCGUUCCAGCCCGAAAUAACCCUCUAUACAGCGACUGUUCCGAGCAACAUCAGCACAGUGACACUCGACCUGCUAACGAGCGACUGCGGGGCUUCCUAUAGGAUAGGGUCGCCACAGUGGAUCAUCUGCCUCCAUCAUGCCCUAUCCACUGCCUCCUCUACUUUCACACCAAUGAGAUCAUGAUUAUUGAACAUGAAAAAUCAUUGGCUUUGGACAUCAUGCAUUUAUUGAACUUAAAAAAAAAAAAAAAAAACUU